UUUUUAUUUUUUAUUUAUGGUACUUAUGGUACUAGAGAGUUUGUACUUCUCAAAAAAUAAUCACUCGAUGUUCUUUUAAUUUUAGUUUUUAAUUUUCUUUCUUAUCCUUGUCCUUACUGACGGUGCCAUCACCAUCGUACCUUUAUGGUUUAUAUAGUUGAACAGACUUACAUUUUUACCAUUCCGUUUUUAACUUAUGUUUUGUUCUCUAAACAUCCUACCCGACGAGAAGCAAAACUUAUUUAUUUUUUACAUUUGUACUUCCAAGUGUCUUUAAUGGAAUUUUCACUAUUUUACUUUGCUUUACCUCAUCAAACAGGCGCACAACACAUUUGAAGAAACAAAAUACGUAUCUUUGAAGCAAUAAUGGGAUAACCAUUUGCACAGGACUUCAUGUAUGCCUUCAUCAUAGAAAAAUAUAAUGAAUAUUGCCAAGUUCUAAGGUUAAACAAAUGAAUCAUAUAGAAUAUUGUCAAAACCCCACAUUUUUCUCACUAAAAUAAACUUCUGUACUUGCAUACAACCCUCUUUGAACUUGGACGACACCUAGUGCUCAUCUUGGACAAUGACCAGUGCUCAACUCGAACGGAGGAGGUUGUCGUUGCUUUUUAACCAUGAAUGCUUCUAAAGACACUGGGAAUUAUUUCAAAACUGCUUUGUACUUUUUAACAUGAGAGUUCUCUCAACUAGGCCAAGAAGCAAUGCCACAUCAUAUUUUGAUUCUGCAAUAACAAAACACUCCAAUAAUUAACAACUAAUCUAUCAGUACAUGCAGAACAAUUUCAGUUUUGAGAAGAAACUUCCAUUGAAGUUACAAACGUUACAGGCAUAACAUACAAACUCCCAAAAUCAUGUGGAUUUAUCUAGUUCAUGUGCGGCAACUCACAAAAUCAGUGAAUUUUCGUUAAUUUUUCUUCAUCAGACACAUCAUCACAUGUUUUGUUUUUUCUUCUGUAAUAUGCACGGAACUGCAGCAAUAAACAAAACUUGUACACCCGUAGAGUUUUUGCAAAGCGAACUGAUACCUUUUCUAACCCGAGAACUGCAGAAAACUAGCAAAAGUGAGCCACCAAAUUCUAUAUAUAAGUGCAGAAAAUAAGACAUCAAAAGCUUAAACAAAGUAGUUGGAGUUUUUUUAACACAUCAGCAUUCGAACUUCUAGUAUUCUUGUCCUCAAAACAAAGACCUUCAUUUUAACCACCGCAAAUAAACUCUUAAAUACUUAUGGCAAGUAUAUUUGAACUGAUGUAUCCUUUUUCUAGCUACUGAAUUGCUAACCACCACAAAUAAACUCUUAACAACUUAUGAAAAGUAUUUUUGAAACUGAUGGAUCUUCUUUCUAGUUACUGAAUUGCUAUACCACAGUACUCCAUCCUGGGAAGUGAAAUACCAACAUCAUUGGUUGUGUAAAAACACUCAAAAGAUUUGCUAAUGGUACUAUAUUAAUUUCUAAAAUUUCCUCCUAGCGCUGACAAAGACAAGCACGAACCAAUAAUCACACAUACACCCAUUAGAAGCAGCGUUAGUGUAGAACUGAAAAAUCGGCAAAAAUCCUGUGGAGUGAGAGGCGAAGAAGAAUACAAAGAUGAUGUCAGACCGGAUGGCCGAGUGGGACGCGGGGGUCAGGUUGGACUGAAGGAGCAAUCUGAAUACAAGCACUAGUGAUAAUAAUAAGGCAGUCAAGCAUCUAGUUAUGGCACACCCAAUAAUAGUUGUACUGAGAUGGUCAACUAAUUGUACUGAGAUAGUGAAAUUAUUUAUUGCAAAAAGAAAGUCUAAAUCAGGGCUGAAAUUUAGUCUAAAUCGUAAGACUGAUGGGAGGAUAAGGUAACUUCGGCAAAUGUAUAUAGAAUUUUAAAUUUCCAACACAUACCUUCUGUUCUUGUUUGUUGUCGGGCAUGUCGCUCCUACUCCUGUGGACUGACGGCACCGACGAAGUCGAGCUGAAGGAGCGGGGAUCACGAGCGGCUGCUGGGCCUGUUUUCUAAAAACUGAGAAACGUUGGUUCAUUGGUCUCUCUGAGUCCAUCAUCUUAUGACCAAUACUUGCUAGACGAUAGAUCUAUCUGGCCAAAGGUCGUACACGUACGGAUGACUCAACGCUGACCGAAAACAUGUGCACGUGGAGGUGAUUCUAUAGGGGUGUGUUGCUUCUGAUCACUUCUAGAUGCACGAGCUGCACCUUUAGUGGCUGUCACAACGCUCCGUCUUUGAUGGAUCACAAGAGAUAACUCGACUAUGAAUCCUAGCACUACAGAGAACAUGCUCAUUCCCAGCAUGCAUGCAUAUGGUGGCCGUUAGCACGAGUUGAUCCGGCCGUGAGUGCAGCUGAGUUAGUUUCAGCUAUAGGUAUCGUCAAGAUUAUCCAUGCAACGAUAGAACAAUCGUUCAAAAUCAGAGAAUCUUAAUAAAACUGUCAUUUGCCAAACGCCUCCACAGUUUUACCAAAACUGAGAAAAAACUAGCUUUUUAGAAACUAAAGAAUUUGCCCACACAUUAAAAUACUGAGGUUUUCUAAUGCUAUGGUUUUGCAAAAACUACUUUGCCAAACUAAUAAGGUUCGGAAAGUAACAGCGAGGGAGUGUACCUCUGCCUUCCUUUGUGCCCUUGCUUCUCCCUCUGCCUCUAUGCCAUCGAGUUUCAGCGGCUGCACCAUAAGCAGCUAUGUCAAGACAACAAAUUCUUUCUCCUCA
RNAcentral lists this long non-coding RNA (2692 nucleotides) under Triticum aestivum (bread wheat). RNAcentral's name for it is "long non-coding RNA (TAES_LNC026255)". Lineage: Eukaryota; Viridiplantae; Streptophyta; Magnoliopsida; Poales; Poaceae. The record is from RNAcentral.